Molecule: small nuclear RNA, 323 nt
Filed under: Myotis brandtii (Brandt's bat)
Lineage: Eukaryota; Metazoa; Chordata; Mammalia; Chiroptera; Vespertilionidae
Description: 7SK RNA
Rfam family: 7SK RNA
About the family: 7SK was discovered as an abundant small nuclear RNA in the mid-70s but a possible function has only recently been suggested. Two independent studies have found that 7SK RNA binds the CDK9/cyclin T complex (known as elongation factor P-TEFb).
Source: Rfam by way of RNAcentral
GGAUGUGAGGGCGAUCUGGCUGCGACAUCUGCCACCCCAUGGAUCGCCAGGGUUGAUCUGGCUGACUAGGCGGGUGUCCCCCUCCUCCCUCACCGAUCCAUGUGCGUCCCUCCCCGAAGCUGCGCGCUCGGUCGAAGAGAACGACCUUCCCCGCGAGGAGAGGACCGGUCUUCGGUCAAAGGUAUACGAGUAGCUGCGCUCCCCUGCUAGAACCUCCAAACAAGCUCUCAAGGUCCAUUUGUAGGAGAACGUAGGGUAGUCAAGCUUCCAAGAAUCCAGACACAUCCAAAUGAGGAGCUGCACGUGGCAGUCUGCCUUCCUUU